GUCUAUUUUCAUACCACUCUGAAUGCGCCCAAUCUCGUCUCAUCUCAGGAGCUAAUCAGGGUAGGUCCUGGUUAGUGUUUGGAUGGGAGAAAGUGUCAUCGGGGGUCAGACA
Molecule: ribosomal RNA, 112 nt
Filed under: Carlito syrichta (Philippine tarsier)
Lineage: Eukaryota; Metazoa; Chordata; Mammalia; Primates; Tarsiidae
Source: RNAcentral